CGGGGGUUGCCGAUCCAUUUUGGUGCGUGUGGCAUGGUGUUGUGUUGGUGUUGUGGUGCGCAAGUGCCAAAUACAUAGUGCGCUCAUGGUGGGUGCACAAGCAUACGGGUGCCAAGCACAUAGUCCUUGGUGGCUAUUUUUCCCAUGGUUCCUUGGUGCAUCCAUGCACUUGGCAUGUGGUGCACCAGCGCGUAAGGUGUCCAUUGUGGCUAUGGUGCAUGUCACACGGUGCCUAUAUUCCACGGUUCCUUGGUAUACCAGUGCCCAUGGUGCCUUGGGGCCAUUUGUUCACGGUGCACGGUGCCCAUGGCCC
RNAcentral lists this long non-coding RNA (313 nucleotides) under Capsicum annuum. RNAcentral describes it as "long non-coding RNA (CANN_LNC015098)". Lineage: Eukaryota; Viridiplantae; Streptophyta; Magnoliopsida; Solanales; Solanaceae. The record is from RNAcentral.